AUAAUUAUUUAUACUCUUGGACAGUACAUUUGUGUUCUUUAACCAUAAUGAAGUUAUUAUAUUUCUUUACGUUACUGUGCUGUAUAAAUAUUUGUUUAAGUGUUAAGAAAUAUUAUUCGCGUCCGCGUCCUCAAUAUGAAAUAGCUGAGAACGAUGUCGACACCGAAAAUAUUUGUCUCUUGCCCUUCAAGAUUGAGAGUGCCGAGCACAUUUCUAUAGAUACGGAUACGAUCCAGAGAUAAAAGCGUGCAGGGUAUUCGUAUACGGUGGUUGCAGAGGAAACGCUAACAACUUCAAGACCUUAGAAGAAUGCCAAAAAGCCUGUGAAGCCUAAGUACCUAGACUUCGCCAAAUUUGUUUUUAAUAUAAUUUUAUAUUAAAAAGUUAUAAAUAUA
Molecule: RNA transcript, 395 nt
Organism: Manduca sexta (tobacco hornworm)
Lineage: Eukaryota; Metazoa; Arthropoda; Insecta; Lepidoptera; Sphingidae
Exons: 4
Source: RefSeq, a predicted model, not a curated record